UGCAUAUGUGAAAAUAUAAAGCCUUUUGUGGCUUCAGAGGGAGCUGUGUGAAGUCUGAUAAAUUGCCUCAAGUGAUGUCACAUGAGUCAGUUAGGGCUGAAGACUACAAGU
Etheostoma cragini (Arkansas darter) is the source of this 111-nucleotide long non-coding RNA. RefSeq lists it as uncharacterized. The record is from RefSeq and is a predicted model, not a curated record. NCBI's taxonomy places the organism in Eukaryota, Metazoa, Chordata, Actinopteri, Perciformes, Percidae. The transcript has 3 exons.